CCUACGGGAGGCAGCAGUGAGGAAUAUUGGUCAAUGGCCGAGAGUCUGAACCAGCCAAGUCGCGUGAAGGAUGACUGUCCUAUGGGUUGUAAACCUCUUUUAUAUGGGAGUAAAGUGUUCCACGUGUGGGUUUUUGCGUGUACCUUAAGAACAAGGAUCGGCUAACUCCGUGCCAGCAGCCGCGGUAAUACGGAGGAUGCGAGCGUUAUCCGGAUUUAAUGGGUUUAAAGGGUGCGUAGGGGGAUUGUUAAGUCAGUGGUGAAAAUUUGGGGCCCAACCCCAACAGUGCAGUUGAAACUGGCAAUCUUGAGUGCAGUAGAGGUGGGCGGAAUGCGUGGUGUAGCGGUGAAAUGCAUAGAUAUCACGAAGAACUCCGAUUGCGAAGGCAGCACACUGGACUGCAACUGACGCUGAGGCACGAAAGUGUGGGUAUCAAACAGGAUUAGAUACCCUAGUAGGC
This 460-nucleotide ribosomal RNA is filed under the name uncultured bacterium. Its description in RNAcentral is "partial 16S ribosomal RNA". It matches the Rfam family "Bacterial small subunit ribosomal RNA", at positions 338 to 795 of the family's 1533-position model. The record is from RNAcentral.